This 116-nucleotide ribosomal RNA is filed under the name Microcebus murinus (gray mouse lemur). The record is from RNAcentral. Lineage: Eukaryota; Metazoa; Chordata; Mammalia; Primates; Cheirogaleidae.
GUAUACGGCCAUAUCACCCUGAAUACGCCCGCUCUUUGUCUGAUGUUGGAAGCUAAGCAGGGUCGGGCCUGGUUAGUACUUGGAUGGGAGAUGGCUGGAAAAAAUGCCCAUUUCCU